CGAACGCUGGCGGCGUGCCUAAUACAUGCAAGUAGAACGCUGAAGGAGGAGCUUGCUUCUCUGGAUGAGUUGCGAACGGGUGAGUAACGCGUAGGUAACCUGCCUGGUAGCGGGGGAUAACUAUUGGAAACGAUAGCUAAUACCGCAUAAUAUUGACUAUUGCAUGAUAGUCAGUUGAAAGGUGCAACUGCACCACUACCAGAUGGACCUGCGUUGUAUUAGCUAGUUGGUGGGGUAACGGCUCACCAAGGCGACGAUACAUAGCCGACCUGAGAGGGUGAUCGGCCACACUGGGACUGAGACACGGCCCAGACUCCUACGGGAGGCAGCAGUAGGGAAUCUUCGGCAAUGGACGGAAGUCUGACCGAGCAACGCCGCGUGAGUGAAGAAGGUUUUCGGAUCGUAAAGCUCUGUUGUAAGAGAAGAACGAGUGUGAGAGUGGAAAGCUCACACUGUGACGGUAGCUUACCAGAAAGGGACGGCUAACUACGUG
Molecule: ribosomal RNA, 493 nt
Filed under: uncultured bacterium
Lineage: Bacteria
Description: partial 16S ribosomal RNA
Rfam family: Bacterial small subunit ribosomal RNA
Source: RNAcentral